CAGAGUGAUGGAAACCUUGAACUGAUCCAGAUUGACCAGAAAAGGAUGUCGCAAAUGGUCGUGCAGUUGAGUCUGGAA
This 78-nucleotide small nucleolar RNA is filed under the name Triticum aestivum (bread wheat). Lineage: Eukaryota; Viridiplantae; Streptophyta; Magnoliopsida; Poales; Poaceae. The record is from RNAcentral. RNAcentral also lists the same sequence under 1 other name.